CUAAAUGUUUUACUCUGUAAGGCUCUGGUUUGUGUGCCAGCUGCGUGGUAUAUCUACACUUUACAGAGGAAAGGGUGGAAGCCUCUUCGUGGGAUCUGAAUUUAUGGAUCAGCACAGUGUCAUGUCUCCAGCUUCCUCCCUGCAUAUCUUGUUUUUCCACAAGAUGCCGACAAAUCUUGUCAAUCUGCAGGAAGAUGCACAUUCAUCUAGGCAGCUUUCAAUCGUCAGCAGCAAUCUAAAUUGCCCCAGUGGCAGUUUUGAGCCAUGAAGGACUCAUAAGAUUGUUCAAAAAUGCUAGAAUUUUCAACAGAAGCAGCAUGCCAUUUGGAAAAAUCUACAAGAAUGUUCACUUCAUCAGAAGGUUGUUUUGGAGAGCACUGCAGGUUGUCUCAGAGGUGCGAUGCGGUGCGAUGUCCUUUGGUGCAUUCAGGACAUUACCACAGUUGUUGAGGCAAGUGAAUGUUGAGGAGAAUAGUCUGGCUGAUAUGUCAGCUCUAUCACUUCUGGACAAACAAGCCUUUAGAUUCUCCUUUCAGUCCUUACCAGGCACGUUCAAAGCUACUCUGGACAUGGAGGAAAUAGGAUGCUCCUCCAGUAGCCAUUUUAAUGUGGUGGAAAAGGAAAGAAAAGAGCUGCAUUCAGCUUUGCAUCCAGAAACUCUCCUUAAAAAGUAUACAAAUAAAGCGAAACCCUUCAUAUGUGAAAACAACUUGGGAUUCCUUCUGACCAAAUCAGCAUACUGCACUGGUGCAAAGGCUACUUUGGACUAGCUGGUGUUUGGAUUGCAUUGUCCUGGCAUGAACCUUCCUCAUGCUUUUCUCCCAGCUUGUCCUGCUCCCCGGUUGUUUAAUGUGGGUAUGAGAAGUCUCCUUUCGCUGUCAAGAGUAAGCAGCUCUGGGGUGGGCUGUGCCAGCCAUUGUCCCACUAAAUAAAAUCCUUUCCAGGGGGAUGACA
Molecule: long non-coding RNA, 954 nt
Filed under: Anas platyrhynchos platyrhynchos (common mallard)
Lineage: Eukaryota; Metazoa; Chordata; Aves; Anseriformes; Anatidae
Description: lncRNA (ENSAPLG00000022356.1)
Source: RNAcentral